This 497-nucleotide ribosomal RNA is filed under the name uncultured bacterium. RNAcentral describes it as "partial 16S ribosomal RNA". It matches the Rfam family "Bacterial small subunit ribosomal RNA", at positions 28 to 507 of the family's 1533-position model. The record is from RNAcentral.
GAUGAACGCUGGCGGCGUGCCUAAUACAUGCAAGUCGAGCGAACAGACGAGGAGCUUGCUCCUCUGACGUUAGCGGCGGACGGGUGAGUAACACGUGGAUAACCUACCUAUAAGACUGGGAUAACUUCGGGAAACCGGAGCUAAUACCGGAUAAUAUAUUGAACCGCAUGGUUCAAUAGUGAAAGACGGUUUUGCUGUCACUUAUAGAUGGAUCCGCGCCGCAUUAGCUAGUUGGGAAGGUAACGGCUUACCAAGGCAACGAUGCGUAGCCGACCUGAGAGGCUGAUCGGCCACACUGGAAGUGAGACAGGGACAAGACUCCUACGAGACGCAGCAGUAGGGAAUGUUCCGCAAUGGGCGAAAGCCUGACGGAACGACGCCGAGUGAGUGACGAAGAUCUUCGGAGCGUAAAAAUCUGUUAUUGGGGAAGAACAAAUGUGUAAGUAACAAUGCACGUCUUGACGGUACCUAGUCAGAAAGCCACGGCUAACUACGUG